ACAACAUUACAAAAAUCAGACCUUAUCUGACACAAGAUUCCACACAACUUCUUGUACAGGCCAUGGUUAUCUCCAAGCUGGAAUAUUGUAAUUCACUGUUAGCU
Long non-coding RNA from Alosa sapidissima (American shad), 104 nucleotides. RefSeq lists it as uncharacterized. Lineage: Eukaryota; Metazoa; Chordata; Actinopteri; Clupeiformes; Clupeidae. The transcript has 3 exons. The record is from RefSeq and is a predicted model, not a curated record.